RNAcentral lists this ribosomal RNA (253 nucleotides) under uncultured bacterium. Its description in RNAcentral is "partial 16S ribosomal RNA". It matches the Rfam family "Bacterial small subunit ribosomal RNA", at positions 524 to 776 of the family's 1533-position model. The record is from RNAcentral.
UACGUAGGGUGCAAGCGUUAAUCGGAAUUACUGGGCGUAAAGCGUGCGCAGGCGGUUCUGAAAGUCAGCUGUGAAAGCCCCGGGCUUAACCUGGGAAUUGCGGUUGAAACUACAGGGCUAGAAUCUGGCAGAGGGGGGUGGAAUUCCACGUGUAGCAGUGAAAUGCGUAGAGAUGUGGAGGAACACCGAUGGCGAAGGCAGGUCUCUGGGCCGAUACUGACGCUGAGGAGCGAAAGCGUGGGGAGCGAACAGG